GCCUUCGUAGAUCAAGGUAGAUUGCUUCCGAUCCAUACGCUAGAUUCGCAUUUCUGUGGAAGAGACGUGGGUUCGACUCCCACCGAAGGCA
This is a non-coding RNA of Mycena leptocephala, 91 nucleotides long. The record is from the annotation of a GenBank genome assembly. NCBI's taxonomy places the organism in Eukaryota, Fungi, Basidiomycota, Agaricomycetes, Agaricales, Mycenaceae.